RNAcentral lists this ribosomal RNA (228 nucleotides) under uncultured Eubacteriales bacterium. RNAcentral describes it as "uncultured Clostridiales bacterium partial 16S ribosomal RNA". It matches the Rfam family "Bacterial small subunit ribosomal RNA", at positions 107 to 334 of the family's 1533-position model. Lineage: Bacteria; Bacillati; Bacillota; Clostridia; Eubacteriales. The record is from RNAcentral.
UAGAGUAACGCGUGAGCAACCUGCCUAUGACAGUGGGAUAGCCUCGGGAAACCGGGAUUAAUACCGCAUGAAAUCGUAGAAACACAUGUUUUAACGGUCAAAGAUUUAUCGGUCAUAGAUGGGCUCGCGUCUGAUUAGCUAGUUGGUGAGAUAACAGCCCACCAAGGCGACGAUCAGUAGCCGGUCUGAGAGGAUGAACGGCCACAUUGGAACUGAGACACGGUCCAA